UGACAAUCCAGAUGGAUCGGUAGCAAUCAGAAAGCUGAUUCCACAUCAGCUUUUGCCAUCAACGCUCUACGUCCUGCCCACCGAACCAACUCGACCGAUUGGUCGAAUGAUGCAUAGGAGACAGAACACAGGGCCACAUCAAUGUCAUCAUUCACUGAUGUAAUAUUUGUAGGUUUUGUAUGUUUUUUUCUGUGCUUGGAGAUAAUUGGAUUAGAA
Molecule: non-coding RNA, 216 nt
Organism: Pelobates cultripes (western spadefoot toad)
Lineage: Eukaryota; Metazoa; Chordata; Amphibia; Anura; Pelobatidae
Source: the annotation of a GenBank genome assembly